RNAcentral lists this unclassified non-coding RNA (79 nucleotides) under Agrobacterium pusense. RNAcentral's name for it is "Rhizobium pusense suhB". The stretch from base 1 to 69 matches the Rfam family "Alphaproteobacterial ar15", at positions 44 to 112 of the family's 112-position model. The record is from RNAcentral. Lineage: Bacteria; Pseudomonadati; Pseudomonadota; Alphaproteobacteria; Hyphomicrobiales; Rhizobiaceae.
AGCUGUUCCCCUCUGGAGGUUUUGACCUUCAAACUUAUCAGGCCGCGGAAAUAUCCAGCGGCCUUUUUUUUUGCCGAUG